Molecule: ribosomal RNA, 382 nt
Filed under: uncultured eukaryote
Lineage: Eukaryota
Description: partial 18S ribosomal RNA
Rfam family: Eukaryotic small subunit ribosomal RNA
Source: RNAcentral
CAAUAGCGUAUAUUAAAGUUGUUGCAGUUAAAAAGCUCGUAGUUGGAUUUCUGGUUGAAGCGACCGGUCGGGCGUUGAUUCGUCUGCACUGGAGUCGGUUUUGGCCAUCCUCUAGGAAAGUGCGUCUGGUAUUAAGUUAUCGGGCGUAUGAUCCUGGUCUUUUACUGUGAAAAAAUUAGAGUGUUUAAAGCAGGCCUUCGCCUUGAAUACAUUAGCAUGGAAUAAUAAGAUAGGACUUUGGUCUAUUUUGUUGGUUUGCAGACCGAAGUAAUGAUUAAUAGGGAUAGUUGGGGGUAUUUAUAUUCCGAUGUCAGAGGUGAAAUUCUUAGAUUUUCGGAAGAUAAACUUAUGCGAAAGCAUUUACCAAGGAUGUUUUNAUUAA